Molecule: ribosomal RNA, 465 nt
Filed under: Vreelandella stevensii
Lineage: Bacteria; Pseudomonadati; Pseudomonadota; Gammaproteobacteria; Oceanospirillales; Halomonadaceae
Description: partial 16S ribosomal RNA
Rfam family: Bacterial small subunit ribosomal RNA
Source: RNAcentral
CCUACGGGGGGCAGCAGUGGGGAAUAUUGGACAAUGGGGGCAACCCUGAUCCAGCCAUGCCGCGUGUGUGAAGAAGGCCCUCGGGUUGUAAAGCACUUUCAGUGAGGAAGAACGCCUGGUGGUUAAUACCCAUCAGGAAAGACAUCACUCACAGAAGAAGCACCGGCUAACUCCGUGCCAGCAGCCGCGGUAAUACGGAGGGUGCGAGCGUUAAUCGGAAUUACUGGGCGUAAAGCGCGCGUAGGUGGCUUGAUAAGCCGGUUGUGAAAGCCCCGGGCUCAACCUGGGAACGGCAUCCGGAACUGGCAAGCUAGAGUGCAGGAGAGGAAGGUAGAAUUCCCGGUGUAGCGGUGAAAUGCGUAGAGAUCGGGAGGAAUACCAGUGGCGAAGGCGGCCUUCUGGACUGACACUGACACUGAGGUGCGAAAGCGUGGGUAGCAAACAGGAUUAGAUACCCGGGUAGUC